This 502-nucleotide long non-coding RNA is filed under the name Zea mays. Its description in RNAcentral is "long non-coding RNA (ZMAY_LNC004674)". The record is from RNAcentral. Lineage: Eukaryota; Viridiplantae; Streptophyta; Magnoliopsida; Poales; Poaceae.
CUUCUUCUCCUCCAAUCCAAAAUGAGAUCCCCAUCCUCAUCCACGACAACUGCGUCAGGCGAAUCACCUCCUCAACAGAGUAAAUCAUGUUACCCCAACGAGCAACUCAACACAUACGCACCAAACUAACCUCUACAUCAUCAACACGAGAUGAGGAGGCUAAAGACUUUUUCAUCCCAGUUGUUACAACCAUCCCUGCAAGAUUUGGGUAUUUGUAUAAGAGGUAUGAAACCAUAUUGACAUUGCACUCCCACACCCCCACACCCUCAAUGACUCUCCGAGAAGAGAAUGCAAACACAAUAUGUAAUGUCUACUAAGUUACUAACUGCUUCCAGCAAAUAUAAAGUGCCCAUAAUUAAAUUAAAUUGAUGAGUUGAAAGACACAAACCUGCAAGAACUUCCACUUUUGAGACCAGUGCCUAGGGGUAGGUACUGUAUUUCUGUAUGCCUUGUGUCACUGUUUAUACAUAAGUACAUCAGAUACGACUGAGCCAAAUUACAG